RNAcentral lists this ribosomal RNA (257 nucleotides) under uncultured bacterium. RNAcentral's name for it is "partial 16S ribosomal RNA". It matches the Rfam family "Bacterial small subunit ribosomal RNA", at positions 524 to 776 of the family's 1533-position model. The record is from RNAcentral.
UACGGAGGGAGCUAGCGUUAUUCGGAAUUACUGGGCGUAAAGCGCACGUAGGCGGCUUUCCAAGUCAGUGGUGAAAGCCCGGAGCUCAACUCCGGAAAUGCCCAUUGAAAACUGUGAAGCUUGAGAACGAGAGAGGUGAGUGGAAUUCCCAGUGUAGAGGUGAAAAUUCGUAGAUAUUGGGAAGAACACCAGUGGCGAAGGCGGCUCACUGGCUCGUAACUGACGCUCAUGCACGACAGCGUGGGGAGUCAAACAGG